GAUGAACGCUGGCGGCGUGCUUAACACAUGCAAGUCGAACGGAAAGGCUCCUGCUUGCAGGGGUACUCGAUUGCCGAACGGGUGAGUAACACGUGGGUGAUCUGCCCUGCACUUCGGGAUAAGCCUGGGAAACUGGGUCUAAUACCGGAUAGGACAAUGGUUAGGAUGCCAUUGUGGAAAGUUUUUUCGGUUUGGGAUGAGCUCGCGGCCUAUCAGCUCGUUGUUGGGGUAAUGGACUACAAAGGCGUCGCCGGGUAGCCGGCCUGGGAGGGUGUACGGCCACCAUGGGACUGGGAUAGGCAACAGAAUGGAAUGUGAGGCAAGGGGGGAGAGGCUUACACAGGGGGAGCGAGCCAGAUGUGAAGACGCCGCGUGGGGGAAGCCCGGUUUCGGGUUGGGAACUCAUGUCGCUGGGGACGAGGAGAAAGUGACGGUACCUGAAGAAGAAGCCACGGCUAACUACGUG
RNAcentral lists this ribosomal RNA (466 nucleotides) under uncultured bacterium. Its description in RNAcentral is "partial 16S ribosomal RNA". It matches the Rfam family "Bacterial small subunit ribosomal RNA", at positions 28 to 507 of the family's 1533-position model. The record is from RNAcentral.